CUGAUGUCUGACUUUAAUAAAUGAAUCAUUUGUCAUGAAUCUGAUUUUAAAGCAAACGAAUCCUCCGAACUGUAAGGGGUUGUUCUAGGUAUAUCUGAGGCAGAGAACAGAACACAUGGUAAUCCUUUUCUGUUUUAACAGUAGUUUUUCUUUAGUGCCUUCAGACAGUUUCAUUCAGUGCAAGAGGAUCAAGAGUUUUGCCUCUGCACAAAGUUGCAAAAUCAUACCAUGGUUCUGCUCUUGUCUGAUUGUCAUAAGCUCUUUAAAAGAGGUGUGUUAUUAUAUUUCUGGAGAAACAGAUUCACAGCUUGAAUUCAGUCUAAUUCAGCCUUUGUGUCCAAGACACGGAGGAACUUUUGAGUUCUUGAAAACCGGAUAAGUAAGGACUUUUGUCCUACCUGUGAAGCUUCUCUAAGGUAAACUCACAAAUGUACUCUCUCAAAUGAUGCUACCCAUACUUCAUUAUAAUAUCCUUGAAUUUCAAAAUAAGUCAAACCUCCCUGUGGGCAUGUGUGGUCCGUUUUCACAAAAGAUUCAGUUAAAGGAGAACCGCGGCGGUGGGGUUGGAACCGCUUGUUUCGUCCUCACAAGCCGUCGGAACAGUCCUCCUGCCAUCCCUGUUGUCUCCGUUGUCUUCGAUGCGCACGGAGUGUGGGUCGGCCCUCCUGUGAGGACCGGGUCUCACCCGCUUUGUAUUCCCUGGGCCUCGCAUGGAGGCCGUUGAAACGGUUCCCGUGAGCACCGCCGUCCUUUCUGGUGUCCAGACUGGCACAGAUCUGAAGUCAGUUUGCUCAAUAGCUGCCAGUGAGUCUGAGCUGAACCUGCUUAAUGCAGAAGAGGGGUUUGGAGCCACCUAAAAUCUCCGCUCAACUCCCCACCCGCACGGAGCCUUUCCCCCGCUUCCCCAACAGCCCUGCCCUCUGCCACGUUCGCGGGGCACAUUGCAUCUCCUGAAACAGCUGUCCUAAUGCCCUUCUGGGCAGAAACAGGCUUCUUUUGGGGGACAGACCCAAAUCAGGGGACAAGAAGUCUCCCUUUGGGGGUCAAAAGGAAACGGUGAGGGUGUCAUGGUGCUGUUUUCCAGUAACACUGGCAGGACGCGCACUGGGGGCCCAGUGGUCACUGGCAAGCCAGCCUGCCUCUCCCCGUAUGAGUGUCCUCUCCAGACGGCACCCUCUCCCUGCCCUGCCUCUCCCUAAUGCAUUUCCAUCCCUAUCGAUCGGGGACUUAGAUGCUGGCUGGCAAUUAGUCCUAAUCAGGCAGCAGGAGUUUCCUAAGGGGACUGCCAGCCGGCCUAAUUGCUGGCAGCUGUGGGGCCGCUCAGUGCGCAGCUGCGGGGCACAGGCUGUUAACCCCCCGGGUCCCGGGCCCGCAAAGCUGCUUGACCCAGCAGAGCUCCUCCUCGCCUGGGUCGGGGGUGCUGGGAUCCAGAGCUUAUCUUUAUCUCGGAAAUCUGUGCUGAGACGCUGAAAGAUACUUGAAGAUAAAGGGUGUACUGCAUAACUCUGUUCUGUAGCAGGAAAUCAUAGAGAAACUAAAGCAGGACUUUUUUAAAAAAAGUUUUAUUUUGGAAAUUCUCAAAAUUCAGACAUGGAAUAGUACAGUAAGCUCCAUGCAUCCAUCAGAUAGUUCUCUGCAUGCUGUCAUUCUUUUUCGUCUAUCCUCCACUCCAUUUUGUUUUCCUUUUAGUGCCUUUUUUUUUUUUUUUUUUUUUUGGCUGCUCAGGUUCCCAGGCCAGGGAUUGAACCUGAGUCACAACAGUGACCCUGAGCCACAACAGUGACAAUGCUGGAUCCUUAACCCACGGAGCCGCAAGGAAAUUCCCACUUGUAAGGUGCUUUAGUGUAUGAUUCUAAUAUAAAGAUACUUUUGAAAAUAUACUGCAGAACUAUUGCUACACUUAACAAAGUAGCUAGUAAUUCCUCAAUAUCACCCAAUAUCUAGCAUUUCAGCAAUGCUUCAAAAACGCCUUUGGGAAGUUCCCCUAGUGGCACAGUGGAAACGCACCCGACUAGAAUCCAUGAGGAUGUGGGUUUGAUCCCUGGCCUCGCUCAGUGGUUUGAGGAUCCAGUGUUGCUGUGCGCUGUGGUGUAGGUCGCAGAAGCGGCUUGGAUCUGUUGUUGCUGUAGCUGUGUCAUAGCUCCGAUUCGACCCCUAGCCUGGGAACUUCCAUAUGCCUCAGGUGCGGCCCUAAAAAGCCGCAAAAUAAAAUAAAGAAAAAUUAAAAGAAAAAAAACCCUCAAACAACAGCUACAACAAAAUGCCUUUGCAUUUGUUUGAAUCAGGAUCGAGUCAAGGUUCAGCCGUGUACUUUGGUUUCACAUUCUAAAUGGGCAGAUUAUAUCCUCAAGGUGUUCUUUCAUGUGUUCCUCUAGUUCCCACAUUUUCUGUAAACCCACAGUAAAAUCUAGAAGCAUCGUGAGUACUAGGUUUGGGUUUUUUCAAGUGUGCUUUAUAGGUGGUGCUAUGAACUUUCUUUUGUACCUCAGGGGGCACAGAUGUUGACUCUCCUAUUUCAGUGAUGUCCGCAGUGAUCCGUGUGGAGUUCCCAUUGUGGCUCAGUGGUUAACGAAUCUGACUAGGAACCAUGAGGUUGAGGGUUCGAUACCUGGCCUUGCUCCAUGGGUUAAGGAUCCAGCGUUGCCGUGAGCUGUGGUGUAGGUCACAGAUGCGGCUCAGAUCCCUCGUUGCUGUGGCUGUGGUGUAGGCCAGCAGCUACAGCUCCGAUUCGACCCCUAGCCUGGGAACCUCCAUAUGCUGCGGGAAGUGGCCUUAGAAAAGGCAAAAAGACCAACCAACCAACCAAACAGUGAUCCGUGAGUUCAAAUGCUGCUGUCCAUCUGAUGCACUACAAAGAUCCCCUGUUAACUGUACCUGAUAGUUUUAGCAGCCAUUGGUAAUCCUUGCCUGGGACCCUCAUUUCCUUAGGCGUUACUCGGCGGCGGUAUUCUAAUACUUCCAUGCCUUCGGUGUGUAUUAGCCAUCAUUCUUAGAGAGGAGAGUAUUUCCCCCUCAGGUUCGGAAAGGCAGGAUCAAUACUAAAUUCCUUCCAUUUCUUUAUAUUAGAUUGUUUUCCUAAACCACCUCAUAGUGUAACUGUGAGAAAAAAAUUGGGGGUAUCAUUAUGAACUCAUGGAUUGUUAUCUGUUUGAUGUGUUUCAAUCCAAUGCAGUCCUGGUUUUUUGAUGCUAAAAUAGCCCAGAUUGGGAUCUGCUGGGCACCUAGCCCCAGGAAAGCUGGCUGUCACACUGAGGGGGAGCGGGGCAGGUGUUGCAGGAGAAGAGGGCUGAGAGGGCUUCCUGUCCUCCUGGGUCAGCCCUGUGGCAAAGGGACCCUACUGUUUUCCCAGGUGCAUCCGGCUGGGCCCCGGCCCCACACAGCUUCUCACAGGUGUUGCUUGGCUCGGUGUUCUUUGUAACUAAAUUCUGUGAUUUCUCAGCUGCAAGCCCUGUCUCCAGGGGCUGAGUCUGAGUUUUUGAUAGGCUGAAUCUCUGCUGCUUGCAUCCAGGGUCAAUUCUUGCUCCCUCCUCCUGGCCCUCCAUGUGUGACAGUGUAUUUAAUGUAGUUUUUUAAUGCGACAUUAAAAGAUUUUUCAGGUCUUGCUCAGCCUUUGAUUCUUGUUUUUGCUUCUUUUAUGUAAAACUAUCCAAUGUUGGAGUUCCCGUCGUGGCGUAGUAGAAAUGAAUCCGACUAGGAACCACGAGGUUUUGGGUUCAAUCCCUGGCCUCUCUCAGUGGGUCAAGGAUCUGGCAUUGCUGUGAGCUGUGGUGUAGGUUGCAGAUAAGGCUCAGAUCUGGUAUGUUACUGUGGCUGUUGUGUGGCCAGAAGCUGUAGCUCCAAUUCGACCCCUAGCCUGGGAACCUCCAUAUGCUGAGGGUGCAGCUCUAAAAAGAAAACAACAACAACAAAAAAAAAAUUAUCCAAUGUGAAAAUAUACAUAUAUAUCCCAGAUCAGCUGUGCUUCUCAAACUUAUUCUGUACCCUUCUGAUCUGUCUCUAUUAGUCUUUGAAAUUGUUCUGCCCUAUUCCUGGAAUAAGUUUAGCGAGAAGCCCUGGUUCCUCUUAGUAAACUGAAUGAAGGUUAUUCCUUGCUGAUGGAUUGUCGUUGCUUCUCGUCUGACACACUGUGUUUAAAGAAACAAAAUGAGGAGUUCCCGUCCUGGCACAGCGGAAACGAAUCCGACUAGGAACCAUGGGGUUGCAGGUUCAAUCCCUGGUCUUGCUCAGCAGGUUAAGAAUCCUGUGUUGCCAUGAGCUGUGGUGUAGGUGGCAGACGCGGCUCAGAUCUGGCAUUGCUGUGGCUGUGGUGUAGGCCGGCAGCUGUAGCUCCAAUUCGACCCCUAGCCUGGGAACCUCCAUAUGCCAUGGGUGUGGCCCUAAAAGGACAAAAAAA
RNAcentral lists this long non-coding RNA (4393 nucleotides) under Sus scrofa (pig). RNAcentral's name for it is "lncRNA (ENSSSCG00000051824.1)". Lineage: Eukaryota; Metazoa; Chordata; Mammalia; Artiodactyla; Suidae. The record is from RNAcentral.